RNAcentral lists this non-coding RNA (969 nucleotides) under Buteo lineatus (red-shouldered hawk). RNAcentral's name for it is "12S ribosomal RNA". It matches the Rfam family "Bacterial small subunit ribosomal RNA". The record is from RNAcentral. Lineage: Eukaryota; Metazoa; Chordata; Aves; Accipitriformes; Accipitridae.
AAAGACUUAGUCCUAACCUUGCUGUUAACUCUUGCUAAACAUAUACAUGCAAGUAUCUGCGCCCCAGUGUAAAUGCCCUUAAUUUCUUACUAAGAUAACAGGAGCUGGUAUCAGGCACACCCACUCAGCUGUAGCCCAAGACACCUUGCUCUGCCACACCCCCACGGGCACUCAGCAGUAAUUAACAUUAAGCAAUAAGUGUAAACUUGACUUAGUUAUAGCAUAUCUCAGGGUUGGUAAAUCUUGUGCCAGCCGCCGCGGUCAUACAAGAGACCCAAGCUAACAGCAUCCGGCGUAAAGAGCGGGUACUUACUAUCUAAGCAACUAGGAUUAAAUCGCAACUGAGCUGUCAUAAGCCCAAGAUGCGCCUAAAGCCACCCCCAAGACGACCCUAGCGCCCACGAUUGACUAAACCCCGCGAAAGCCAGGGCUCAAACUGGGAUUAGAUACCCCACUAUGCCUGGCCCUAAAUCUUGAUACUUACCUUACCAAAGUAUCCGCCUGAGAACUACGAGCACAAACGCUUAAAACUCUAAGGACUUGGCGGUGCCCCAAACCCACCUAGAGGAGCCUGUUCUAUAAUCGAUAACCCACGCUACACCUCACCACUCCUUGCCCAGACAGCCUACAUACCGCCGUCUCCAGCUCACCUCUUCUGAGAGCUUAAUAGUGAGCCCAAUAGCCCCUCCCGCUAAAAAGACAGGUCAAGGUAUAGCUCACGGAGUGGUAGGAAUGGGCUACAUUUUCUAGAAUAGAGAACUAUACGGAAAGGGGUGUGAAAUAACCCCUGGAAGGCGGAUUUAGCAGUAAACUGGGACAAUAAAGCCCUAUUUAAGCUGGCUCUGAGGCACGUACAUACCGCCCGUCACCCUCCUCGCAGGCUAUAACCCCCAUAACUAAUAACCCACUAUGCCAAAGAUGAGGUAAGUCGUAACAAGGUAAGUGUACCGGAAGGUGCACUUAGCAUAC